This 634-nucleotide ribosomal RNA is filed under the name uncultured bacterium. RNAcentral describes it as "bacterial SSU rRNA". The stretch from base 1 to 545 matches the Rfam family "Bacterial small subunit ribosomal RNA", at positions 338 to 873 of the family's 1533-position model. The record is from RNAcentral.
CCUACGGGAGGCAGGCAGUAGGGAAUCUUCCACAAUGGGCGAAAGCCUGAUGGAGCAACGCCGCGUGAGUGAUGAAGGCCUUCGGGUUGUAAAACUCUGUCAUUCGGGACGAACCGGAGUCUGAGGAAAUGCAGACUCUCUGACGGUACCGGAGGAGGAAGCCCCGGCUAACUACGUGCCAGCAGCCGCGGUAAUACGUAGGGGGCAAGCGUUGUCCGGAUUCACUGGGCGUAAAGCGCGCGCAGGCGGUGAUGUAAGUCUGAGGUGAAAACCCGAAGCUCAACUUCGGGACUGCCUUGGAUACUGCGUCACUUGAGGAUAGGAGAGGCAAGGGGAAUUCCACGUGUAGCGGUGAAAUGCGUAGAGAUGUGGAGGAACACCUGUGGCGAAGGCGCCUUGCUGGCCUAUUUCUGACGCUGAGGCGCGAAAGCGUGGGGAGCAAACAGGAUUAGAUACCCUGGUAGUCCACGCUGUAAACGAUGAGUGCUAGGUGUAGGUGGGCUCAUACCCAUCUGUGCCGAAGCUAACGCAUUAAGCACUCCGCCCUGGGGGAGGUACGGUCGCGACGACGUAGAACGUACGAAGAAGUAGACGGCGUUGAGACGNGCGACGGACGACGACGAGGGAGGUUAGG